UGCGUGGUAGUUCAAUGGAUAGAACAUUAAAGCGGUGUCAUGUUCCAUGUGGCACGGACAGCAACUAUUCUUUUUUCACUGGAAAUGAAGAGAUGAGGGUUCGAUUCCCUCCCACGCAA
This 119-nucleotide transfer RNA is filed under the name Siphoviridae sp. ctwQg18. RNAcentral's name for it is "tRNA-Ser". It matches the Rfam family "tRNA". From Rfam's summary of the family: Transfer RNA (tRNA) molecules are approximately 80 nucleotides in length. Their secondary structure includes four short double-helical elements and three loops (D, anti-codon, and T loops). Lineage: Duplodnaviria; Heunggongvirae; Uroviricota; Caudoviricetes. The record is from RNAcentral.